This 440-nucleotide ribosomal RNA is filed under the name uncultured bacterium. RNAcentral describes it as "partial 16S ribosomal RNA". It matches the Rfam family "Bacterial small subunit ribosomal RNA", at positions 338 to 795 of the family's 1533-position model. The record is from RNAcentral.
CCUACGGGUGGCAGCAGUGGGGAAUAUUGCACAAUGGGGGAAACCCUGAUGCAGCGACGCCGCGUGAGGGAAGAAGUAAUGCGUUAUGUAAAGCUCUAUUAGCAGGGAAGAAAAUGACGGUACCUGAGUAAGAAGCCCCGGCUAACUACGUGCCAGCAGCCGCGGUAAUACGUAGGGGGCAAGCGUUAUCCGGAUUUACUGGGUGGAAAGGGAGCGUAGACGGCAGUGCAAGACUGGAGUGAAAGGCGGGGGCUCAACCCCCGGACUGCUCUGGAAACUGUACGGCUGGAGUGCAGGAGAGGUAAGUGGAAUUCCUAGUGUAGCGGUGAAAUGCGUAGAUAUUAGGCGGAACACCAGUGGCGAAGGUGGCUUACUGGACUGUAACUGACGCUGAGGCUCGAAAGCGUGGGGAGCAAACAGGAUUAGAUACCCUAGUAGUC